AGAGUCAUUGUGGGGGAGGGGUUGGGCCAGCCAGGGCAGGCAGGGACAGCCCCUCUGAUGAGGAGGCCACUGGGCUGAGACCAAUGAAUGAGAUGGAGCCAGCCACGUGGGCUUGAGUCUGGGGGAGCCUGGCUGCCCAGAGGUGGCAGAUGACAUGAAGAAAUAACCAUGUAAGGGCUGGCUGUGUAUGAGAGCAAGCAUUGGGAAGGAUGAAUGCCAACUAUGUUCCAGGAACUUCCACUGUUCUCACACACCCAGGUGAGUGGUGUUCAGGUGGGUGGCACCCAGGUGAGUGACAUCCCAGUUGAGUGGCACCCAGGUGAGUAGCAUCCAGGUGAGUGACACCUAGGUGAGUGACAUUCAGGUUAGUGGCGUCUGUGUGAGUGGCAUCAUCCAGGUGAGUAGCUUCCAGGUGAGUGGCACCCAGGUGAGUGGCAUUCGGGUGAGUGGCAUUAUCCAGGUGACACCUGGGUGAGUGGCAUCCAGGUGAGUGAUAUCAUCCAGGUAAGUGGCACCUAGGUGACAUCCAGGUGAGUGACGACAUCCAGGUGAGUGACAUCAUCCAGGUAAAUGGCACCCAGGUGAGUAGCAUUCAGGUGAGUGACACCCAGGCGAGUGGCAUCCACGUGACUAGCAUUGUCCAGGUGCAUAACACCCAGGUGAGUGGCACCCAGUUGAGUGGUGCCCAAGUGAGUCACAUCCAGGUAAGUGGGGUCCAGGUGGUGGCACCCAGGCGAGUGGUGCCCAGGUGAGUGACAGCCAGGUGAAUGGUGUCCAGGUGAGUGGCAUCACCCAGGUGAAUGGUGUCCAGGUGAGUGGCAUCCAGGUAAGUGGUGUCCAGGUGGUGGCACCCAGGUGAGUGGUGUCCAGGUGAGGGGCAUCACCCAGGUGAAUGGUGUCCAGGUGAGUGGCAUCCAGGUGGGUGGUACCGUCGACGUGACAAUAGCUAAAAAUUAUUGGGCUCAUUGUGGACAGGCACUGUGCCGAGCUUGACAUCACUGAACUCAGUUCAUCCUCGCCAGGAGCUUGUGGGCCGUCCCUAGAUCAGAAUCCGAGGAGAAAGGACUUCCACACGGCAGCCAGCGAGCUGGAGGGCGGCCUCCUGCCACCACCAGGCUCCCUAACCCAGUCCUGGAUAUCUGUGAAAGAAUGAGUGGAUCCCCACAGGCCAGCACCAGGAGAUCAGAACCUUCUGGAAUCUUAAUAUGCGAGGACUCGGUGGAGAAGGCGGCACUGAAGAAGAGUCGUCCCUAGGCCAGGCUGGAGGGAAACUCAAGACGGCGGCCUGGCCCUCCUGGGUGGCGGAAGUGGGAGCAGCAGGAGCCCUGGCGGAUCCGGGAGGCCAGAAGAGCGGAAGCUUCCUCCCCUCUCAGGACAGCCACAAGGACUUUCGGGGGUCGUGGCAGCUGCUCCACUUCCAACUUCCAGAUCCCUCUCACUUUCCUCUUCCCACCAACUCCAACCUGGGACCAAGCAGGGGAAAGCAGCUGCAGCCCAGCUUGACGCCCCUGCAAAUGGAGACCUGUGCACCUGGUUGUGAGCAUUUUAAAGGGUGUCACACAGGGCAUACCCUUCGGUGCCUGGAUUCCUUUGAUGAAAGGGCAAAGCCUUGAACCUAAGUCAUCUUCGAGUCCUCAGCACUUCACCCAGAGCCUGGCACACAGUAGGAGCACAGAAAGGUUUACAUCCAGCAGGAGUUGGCCCUGAGCUCUGAGUCCAGAUCAUUGCUCUUGGCUGAAGCAGCCUGUCUACUCACAAAGAUGAGCAUGGUCCCUGCCACGAGGAAACUCGUGGUCCUGUGGACUGCGGUGUGGAGGGAAAGCUUGGGAUUCUGAGCCUGAUAAUGCACCAUUACAUCCCCACUCACUCGGGCUGUGUGAACCCAGCAAGUCACAGGAUCACUGGGUGGUGAAAGAAAGAAACACUCACAGAAGCGUCUGUGCUUGGAGAGCCAUCUGGUCCGUCAUUGUGACUGCUGCUCUCAUUGCUAUCAUGGGUGUCACCAUUGCCAUCACUCAAGGACUUCUCUCCAGGCCCCGAAGCCAAGCUGGUGCCUGGUUCCUCUGGGUUGGGAGAGGGGCUGGGCAUGGACAGGAGGAGGGAAAAGGGACCUGUGCUAGCAGGUGAUGCCAUCCAAGACAUCUGCAUCCUAAUCCCUGGAACCUGGGAUUCCACUAGGUGCCAUGGCAAAGAGGGAUUAAGGUGGCAGGUGGAGUGAAGGUUGCUAAUCAGCCGACCUUAAAGUAGGGAGAUGAUCCUGAAUGAGACAAAAGAGAGAACCAGUCAUGGUGUCAUGAGAAGGACUCAAAAUGCAACUGCUGACUUUGAAGAUUAAGGGGCUACAAACCAAGGAACGUGGUAGUCUCUGGAAAAGACAAGGAAUAGACGCUGCGUUGGGGCCACCAGAAGGAACCAGCCCUGUCAACACCCUAAUUUUAGCCCAGUGAGGCCUGUGCUGGACUUCUGACCUCCAGAACUGUAAACUAAUAAAUGUGUGUUGUUUCUGCCACUAG
Long non-coding RNA from Homo sapiens (human), 2513 nucleotides. Ensembl annotates it as long intergenic non-protein coding RNA 917. NCBI's taxonomy places the organism in Eukaryota, Metazoa, Chordata, Mammalia, Primates, Hominidae. The record is from Ensembl.